AACAGGAUUAGAUACCCUGGUAGUCACGCCGUAAACGAUGUCGACUUGGAGGCUGUUCCCUUGAGGAGUGGCUUCCGGAGCUAACGCGUUAAGUCGACCGCCUGGGGAGUACGGCCGCAAGGUUAAAACUCAAAUGAAUUGACGGGGGCCCGCACAAGCGGUGGAGCAUGUGGUUUAAUUCGAUGCAACGCGAAGAACCUUACCUACUCUUGACAUCCAGAGAAUUUAGCAGAGAUGCUUUAGUGCCUUCGGGAACUCUGAGACAGGUGCUGCAUGGCUGUCGUCAGCUCGUGUUGUGAAAUGUUGGGUUAAGUCCCGCAACGAGCGCAACCCUUAUCCUUUGUUGCCAGCGCGUAAUGGCGGGAACUCAAAGGAGACUGCCGGUGAUAAACCGGAGGAAGGUGGGGACGACGUCAAGUCAUCAUGGCCCUUACGAGUAGGGCUACACACGUGCUACAAUGGCGCAUACAAAGAGAAGCGACCUCGCGAGAGCAAGCGGACCUCAUAAAGUGCGUCGUAGUCCGGAUUGGAGUCUGCAACUCGACUCCAUGAAGUCGGAAUCGCUAGUAAUCGUAAAUCAGAAUGUUACGGUGAAUACGUUCCCGGGCCUUGUACACACCGCCCGUCACACCAUGGGAGUGGGUUGCAAAAGAAGUAGAUAGCUUAACCUUCGGGAGGGCGUUUACCACUUUGUGAUUCAUGACUGGGGUGAAGUCGUAACAAGGUAACCGUAGGGGAACCUGCGGCUGGAUCACCUCCUU
Molecule: ribosomal RNA, 761 nt
Filed under: uncultured bacterium
Lineage: Bacteria
Description: bacterial SSU rRNA
Rfam family: Bacterial small subunit ribosomal RNA
Source: RNAcentral